UUUCUAUAGUUUAAACUACAGUCUUUAUAAUGGUUAGAUUGAGGACAAGGUGCAGAACUUUAAGAUUACAAAUUGACUUCUGAGUUCAAAACGCAUAUUCGCGCGAUCUAAUUAACAUCCUACUGUUUUCUCAGAAAUCUUUUUAAAAUGUGAAUGUAGGUGUCCGAUACCUUCUUAGUAUUUAAAUAUACGUUAAGACUAUGAUUACUAUAAAAUAUUUAACUUAUACGGCAAAAAAUAGAAUUGAUACAAUUUACGACUUAUACUACUUUGAAAAAAAAAUU
Non-coding RNA from Schizosaccharomyces pombe (fission yeast), 284 nucleotides. NCBI's taxonomy places the organism in Eukaryota, Fungi, Ascomycota, Schizosaccharomycetes, Schizosaccharomycetales, Schizosaccharomycetaceae. The record is from the annotation of a GenBank genome assembly.